UGUACGUAAUCCUACAGUGGAGUUGAUUACUUAUCUUAUGCACUAGCAUCAAUGGUUGGAAAUGAAUCAAUAGACAGCAAUACAGCAGAAAACAUUUGCACUCUGGAUUAAAUUUCUUAAAUCAACCAUUUUCCGCAGAAAAAGAGAAAAAAUCUCUAUCCUGCUUCCGUUUUGAUUUCGCCACAAAUUUAUACUAUGGCUUGUAAUUCAUUCAGGCACCGAAAGUUUCAUUCAAGAAGCCUAUAGGAAGUGUAAGCGUUUCUGGC
RNAcentral lists this long non-coding RNA (266 nucleotides) under Erythranthe guttata (spotted monkey flower). Its description in RNAcentral is "long non-coding RNA (EGUT_LNC003914)". The record is from RNAcentral. Lineage: Eukaryota; Viridiplantae; Streptophyta; Magnoliopsida; Lamiales; Phrymaceae.